RNAcentral lists this ribosomal RNA (497 nucleotides) under uncultured bacterium. RNAcentral's name for it is "partial 16S ribosomal RNA". It matches the Rfam family "Bacterial small subunit ribosomal RNA", at positions 28 to 507 of the family's 1533-position model. The record is from RNAcentral.
GAUGAACGCUGGCGGCGUGCCUAAUACAUGCAAGUCGAGCGAACGGACGAGAAGCUUGCUUUUCUGAUGUUAGCGGCGGACGGGUGAGUAACACGUGGAUAACCUACCUAUAAGACUGGGAUAACUUCGGGAAACCGGAGCUAAUACCGGAUAAUAUUUUGAACCGCAUGGUUCAAAAGUGAAAGACGGUCUUGCUGUCACUUAUAGAUGGAUCCGCGCUGCAUUAGCUAGUUGGUAAGGUAACGGCUUACCAAGGCAACGAUGCAUAGCCGACCUGAGAGGGUGAUCGGCCAGACUGGAACUGAGACACGGUCAAGACUCCUACGGGAGGCAGCAGUAGGGAAUCUUCCGCAAUGGGGGAAAGCCUAACGGAGCAACGCCGCGUGAGUGAUGAAGGUCUUCGGAUCGUAAAACUCUGUUAUUAGGGAAGAACAUAUGUGUAAGUAACUGUGAACAUCUUGACGGUACCUAAUCAGAAAGCCACGGCUAACUACGUG